GAUGGUGACGAGUCCGCCUACAGGUGGGAGGUUGACCACCUGGUGACCUGGUACAAUCAAAACAACCUUGAGCUCAAUGCUCUAAAGACAGUGGAGAUGGUUGUGGACUUCAGGAAGAACUCAGCCUCACCUGCACCUGCCCCCAUCACCCUCUGUGACUCCACAAUCGACACUGUGGAGUCUUUCCGCUUCCUGGGAACUAUCAUCUCCCAGGACCUCAAGUGAGGUCUGUUGUGCUCAUCAAGAAAGCACAACAGAGAAUGUACUUCCUGCGGCAGCUGAAGAAAUUCAACCUGACAAAGACAAUGAUGGUGCACUUCUACACAGCCAUCAUCGAGUCACAUCCCCCAUCACUAUCUGGUACGCUGCUACUACUGUCAAGGACAAGGGCAGACUGCAGCGUGUCAUCCGGUCUGCAGAGAAGGUGAUUGGCUGCAAUCUGCCGCCGCUCCAGGACCUGUACGCCUCCAGGACCCUGAAGCAUGCUGGAAAGAUUGUGGCGGAUCCUUCCCACCCCGGCCACAAUCUCUUUGAGACACUCCCCUCUGGCAGAAGGCUGAGGUCCAUCAGGACAAAAACCUCACGCCACAAGAACAUUUUCUUCCCAUUCGCCAAUUGCCUUAUCAACAAGGCCUGGUACCCACCCUGACACUCUCCACACUCCACCUCUGGCUCUACAUGCCACUGUACUUACUCUGCUGUACUGCUCUCUUUUAUUUUUAUUCUUAAUUUUAAUAUAUACUGUGUGGUCAUAUUUAUAUUGCUUAUAUUUUAAUACUUGUUUUUUAUAUUUAGAGAAUGUGUGACACGCGCAUACAACACCAAAACUAAUUCCUUGUAUGCGUAAAAAACAUACUUGGCAAUAAAGCUUUUUCUGUUUCUGAUCCUGAUUAAAGGGUUAAACUUAUUCCGCGCCGAGUCACGUGACACAACAGCUUGCCGUCGAUUUACUUGAAGUGCUCCUACGGACAGAGCCAACAAAAGUGCCUCUGUGAGCUGAUAAACAGGAUGUCAACAUAUGUGGAAUCUGGCACCGCAUUUCCUCAGAAGUAGAAAAAACAGAAUAUUCCCCAAACCCCACUUCUUUGGCUUUGUCUCUGGGGCUCCAAUUCACAAUCCUUGCCUACAGUAAGUUUGAAAGGACUUUAUGAUUAUUUCUUCUAGGAAGUACUAUAGCUGCCAACUUGUAAAUGUAUAAUAACUAUUUCAUAAAAUUGAUUAAGCAUUCCUUAUGUCAUUUAUUAGUUACAGUAUACUACUGACACCAUGUAAGUUAUUGUCUGGAACUUUGCUGGUAAGGAAAUGUAGAGGCCGGACCUCUUGAAACUUUAAUUAAAUACCCCUGGACUAGGGGUUCACAUACUUUUUCCAACCUACAUUGUGAAUGCUUAAAUUAUGUAUUCAAUAUGUACAUUUAACAUUACAAUAGUGUGUGUGUUAUUAGUUAAAACAGAUAUGUUCAUUAUUGUAGCUUAGAUGAAGCACUAACCAGAUUUUAAGACACAUUUAUACAUAAAUGCAGGUAACUUCAAAUGAUUCAAAUUUUUUCUCACCACUGUUUGUCCAAAAUAUCUUUUGUUUGUGUUCCACAGCAAAAAUACAGUAAUAAGAGUUAGCAUGAGGUUGAGUAAAUGAGAGAAUUAUAAUUUUUAGGUAUACUAUCCCUUUAAGCUUUGAAGCAAGGCACCAUCCACUGCCAUUGUAUUGAAAAGACAACCUGAAAUAUGACACAAUUUUCAAAAUUAUUUUUAAAUCAGUAAUGUCAAACUAAUUAAUUUUGUCACAUUCUAGAAGUCUGCAUCUCCAUCUUGGAAAAAUUGUCAAAACUACCCCACAACUAGUACAUCUUUAUCAACCAAUCAAAACAUUGUUCCUUGUUGCCACGGUACCUCAGACUUGCUCCACAUUAAGCUGAGCUAUACAUGGCCCAGAAAUAUGAUUCUCUACAAGAACAAUAAACACAAGUACACACACACACACACAAAUGCACAAACGAGUCAUUUGCAUCUGCUGUUGGCUUGUCUUGCAAUCUUUAUCAUGACUAUCCAUAUGUAGCUGCAUGAAUAUUAAAUAACAUAAUCCUCACUGCCUGACUACCUCUGCUCUCAAACACACCCACACUAACUUAAUUCUUCUCCACAUUUGAACACUUUAAAAAGGAAAGGGACACUAAUCUUACACAAUAAACCUUUAAUAUGAGGCAUCAACCUGAAAAGGAGGUUAAUGGUUUGAUAACACACUUUUAGGGGAGGGUGAGUUGGUGUCUUGGAUAAGAAAUACAGAAAUAUUUUCUUUCAUGUUUUUUCAGAAUAUUUAGUCAGUGUAUAUUUUGGACUGACAGGAGGGUAACAGAAGAUGAACAAGAUUUAACAUAGCAAAUAAAGCAAACAAAAUGGACAAACUUAAAUUAAAUCAGUUUUUUUUUAAAAGCUUCAGGGACAGCAUCUGUCACAUGCUGUUGAUUUUCCACAUAAAAUGAUUUAGACUUUAGUUGGUAAAAACAAUUGUAAGUGCCUUCCUUUUGUUUUGCUUUGACAAGUCAACAUUUUUUGUAACUUGUAUUUGACCUGGAAUAUAACUUAAAAAAAAAAAUAAUAAUGUUUCUUUGUACUCCCGUUUGUGUUUUAGUCUAUAAAAGUUGGUGUGUUUUUGUAUUG
This is a long non-coding RNA of Xyrauchen texanus (razorback sucker), 2657 nucleotides long. RefSeq lists it as uncharacterized. NCBI's taxonomy places the organism in Eukaryota, Metazoa, Chordata, Actinopteri, Cypriniformes, Catostomidae. The record is from RefSeq and is a predicted model, not a curated record. The transcript is spliced from 3 exons.